UGGGGAAUAUUGGACAAUGGGGGAAACCCUGAUCCAGCGACGCCGCGUGUGUGAAGAAGGCCUGCGGGUUGUAAAGCACUUUUAGUGGGGAUGAAAAGUCCAGGGCUAAUAUCCCUGGGUCUUGACCUAACCCAAAGAAAAAGCACCGGCUAACUCUGUGCCAGCAGCCGCGGUAAUACAGAGGGUGCGAGCGUUAAUCGGAAUUACUGGGCGUAAAGCGUGCGUAGACGGUUAGAUAAGUCGGGUGUGAAAGCCCCGGGCUCAACCUGGGAAUUGCAUUCGAGACUGUUUAGCUAGGGUACGGAAGAGGGAAGCGGAAUUUCAGGUGUAGCGGUGAAAUGCGUAGAUAUCUGAAGGAACACCAGUGGCGAAAGCGGCUUCCUGGUCCAGUACCGACGUUCAGGCACGAAAGCGUGGGGAGCAAACAGGAUUAGAUACCCUGGUAGUCCACGCCAUAAACGAUGAGAACUAGACGUUGGGGGGGUAAGCCUCUCAGUGUCGCAGCUAACGCGCUAAGUUCUCCGCCUGGGGAGUACGGCCGCAAGGUUG
This 549-nucleotide ribosomal RNA is filed under the name uncultured bacterium. Its description in RNAcentral is "bacterial SSU rRNA". It matches the Rfam family "Bacterial small subunit ribosomal RNA", at positions 355 to 896 of the family's 1533-position model. The record is from RNAcentral.